RNAcentral lists this ribosomal RNA (492 nucleotides) under uncultured bacterium. RNAcentral's name for it is "partial 16S ribosomal RNA". It matches the Rfam family "Bacterial small subunit ribosomal RNA", at positions 29 to 507 of the family's 1533-position model. The record is from RNAcentral.
AGUGAACGCUGGCGGUAGGCCUAACACAUGCAAGUCGAACGGCAGCACAGUAAGAGCUUGCUCUUACGGGUGGCGAGUGGCGGACGGGUGAGGAAUACAUAGGAAUCUACUUUUUCGUGGGGGAUAACGUGGGGAAACUUACGCUAAUACCGCAUACGACCUACGGGUGAAAGCAGGAGAUCUUCGGACCUUGCGCGAUUGAUUGAGCCGAUGUCGGAUUAGCUAGUUGGCGGGGUAAAGGCCCACCAAGGCAACGAUCCGUAGCUGGUCUGAGAGGAUGAUCAGCCACACUGGAACUGAGACACGGUCCAGACUCCUACGGGAGGCAGCAGUGGGGAAUCUUGCACAAUGGGCGCAAGCCUGAUCCAGCCAUACCGCGUGGGUGAAGAAGGCCUUCGGGUUGUAAAGCCCUUUUGUUGGGAAAGAAAAGCAGCAGGUUAAUACCCCGCUGUUCUGACGGUACCCAAAGAAUAAGCACCGGCUAACUUCGUG